This 3861-nucleotide long non-coding RNA is filed under the name Sus scrofa (pig). Its description in RNAcentral is "lncRNA (ENSSSCG00065015531.1)". The record is from RNAcentral. Lineage: Eukaryota; Metazoa; Chordata; Mammalia; Artiodactyla; Suidae.
GCUUUGGCCUCCCGAGGUCUCUCACGACUCAGAGGCUUAUAAACAAAGUCGCUGCCACAGUGUGAAUUGACGUUUUGCCAAAUUCUUGUCUUCAGAUAAGGGAAUUCUGAAAACGACCUUGAAAGUAGAGAAGAGGAGUGUGCAGAUAGCUUUAGCAGCCUCGCAAAGGGUUCUUGUGUUCAUCUAUUUGAAGGUUUAAGAUUUAAAAAUUUAAAGAGAGGAGUUCCUAUCGUGGCACAGUGGAAACAAAUCUGACAAGGAACCAUGAGGUUGCGGAUUCGGUCUCUGGCCUCGCUCAGGGUUAAGGAUCUGGUGUUGCCGUGUAAGUCGCAGAUGCUGCUUGGAUCUGGCAUUGCUGUGGCUGUGAUGUAGGCCAGCAACUAUAGCUCUGAUUAGACCCCUAGCUUGGGAACCUCCAUAUGCCGCAGGUAGCCACAUCUGAGCCUGAUAGAGAGAACUUUGCGUUGACGUCCUGGCCUGUGAGCUGCGUUUAGUCUCUGGAUGGGACUUUGAAGUCAUACUCCUCAGGGACAAAGGCGAGAGAGGGAACCAGGAGUCGGAACUCUUCCUCUUCGAGACCACGGGGCGUGGUCAGAGGGACUUCCUAGCUUGGCUGCAUAUCCUGACAAGAAGCCUGCAAAGGUCGUGUUCUAUAAGAAGCACUGUUCAUCUAACCCAUGCACUCUGGAUAUGAAAAACUCUGAUUUUUCCACUACUUGCUGCCAAAAAAAUAGGUGGAAGCUUCUUUACCUGCAGGCUUCCUCUGGCUAAUUGUUCCAUGAGUGGCAGCAAUGCUGUGGUCUGACAUGAGAGAGCACAGGCGUCCAGCAGUGAGGAUGGAGGCAGAAAUGAGGUUUAAUUUUACUUUUUAAUCUUUUUAGGGCCACACCUGUCACAUAUGGUUCCCAGGCUAGGGUUCACAUCGGAGCUGUAGCCGCUGGCCUACACCACAGCCACAGCUCAGGCACACAGGACCCGAGCCUCAUCUUUGACCUUCACCACAGCUCACGGCGACACCAGAUCCUUAACCCACUGAGCGAGGCCAGGAAUCGAACCUGCAUCCUCAUGGAUGCAUCACAUUCGUUUCUGCUGAGCCACAACAGGAACUCCCAGAAAUAAGGUUUAAUGCUGAGGAGGUUGUCGGUGACUCAUCUAAGCAGCCUGCACAAGUUCAAGGGAAGGCUUGUGUCCCUGGGGGUCAGUGCUCUAAUGAUUUGCAAAUACAAAAUUCUCAGUCUCUGUAUCUGCAAGUCCUAAACAUUCAAAUUUGAAACAUAGGGUUGUCCACUGUAUUUAAAGUUUUUGAGUAUAUUCUCCCCCAAGUGGCUACCACCAGCCAUUUCUUGCCAAGGAACAGCUCCUCUCUGCACUUAGAGAUAAUGCCUGAGAGCCUCAGGCCACUGCCCCUGCCGCCGCUGUGGAGCGCAGAGAGAACAGAAUUCCCUUCUCCUUUUGUUAGGGGAGGGAGGGGGACCUUCCAGAUCCAGGUCAAGUCUCUAACUGGUCUAAACCUAGACCCCCGCUCCUGCAAACCUACAAAUGUUCUCUACAGAUGCCACUUCUCAGAACAAGUCAUUAUGUGUUAAAACUGCAAAACAUCAAAUUUACCAUUUUAGCCUUUUUAAAGUACACAAUUCGGUGGCAUUUAGUACAUUCACAACUUGUGCCACUGUCAUCAUUACUCAUUUCCAGAAGUUUUUUUAUCAUCCAAACAGAACAUUUGUGCACAUUACACAAAAACUUCCCAUCACCUCCUCCCUCAGGGGAAUACUUUUAAACACUUUUGGUGCCAACACAAUCUGUAGCUGUUUUUACACCUCUUUUACAGGCUUUUGUUAUUUUAUUUAUUUAAAAACACUUAUUAGGCAACCAUACGGGGUGAACUCAGGUAAAUUCCUGGAGGAACUUGCAGUGAAGGAACUUGCAAUGAGCUAAGACAGAGACACAGAUAGAUGAUAACACACAGUGUGAUAAAUGCUACAAUAGAGAAAGGAAAGAAGAGAACUGGCUAGAGAUCUAGUGUUUAUGGAACACAAACUGUCAGAUUGCAACAAGUGCUUCUGCAUUUCAUUUCCCUUCAUAAUAGCCCUGUAAAGUAAUUACUGUUAACCCACUUUGUGGAUAAGGAAGCUCAAAUCUAGAAUGGUCUAGCAAGUUGCCUACACAUUCAGUAGCGGGUGCAAGCCCUAAGCAGACAAGUGCCAAACCAGGCUGGGUGAUUAGCCAGCUUCAUGCAUGUAGGUUUGUGCUCACAGUUCCCUGGACCUUAGUUUUCUUGUGUAAAAUGGCAGAACUACACUAGUAGACCUCUUAGGGCCUUUACAUCAGGAAGCUGAAGAAGACUGAGUGGACAUGGAUCAUUCGAGUUGCAGAUCUGAAGAAACCGAAGAGAAUUCCGCACCUUUGGACUCAGCCUGAGAGGGCCACUGAACUGAGACCCCUUUAGCUGGAUGGGUGGGGCUUUGGGACCACAGAAGUGAGACUUCUAAAUCAGUUUGGGACUCAAGAACUGCUUAACAUGGAGUUCCCACUGUGGCUCAACGGUAAUGAACCCAACUAGUACCCAUGAGGACAGGGUUUCAUCCCUGGCCUCACUCAGUGGGUUAAGGAUCCGUCAUUGCCACAAGCUGUGGUGUAGGUCACAGACAUGGCUCCUAUCCUGCAUUGCUGUGCAUUGGCCAGCAGCUGCAGCUCUGAUUCAAUCCCUGGCCUGGGAAUCUCUACAUGCCAUGGGUGUAGCAGCUAAAAAAAAUGACAAAAGGAAAAAAAAGAACUGCCAAACAGAGGGGGUUGGACUUGGUCUGAUACAUUUUGCUGAGUUACUAAUUUGCGUUCUCUGCCUCAAUUUCCUGUUUUCUUUGCUCCAUACUCAGACAUCCAAACUACCUUCCGCCCCAGGAUAAGCCUGUGGCAGGGAGGCUUGUAUUCAAACCUACCCACCUAGAGAUUAUAUGGAGGGAGCAGAGGGAAAUACGAUCAGGAGGGGACUGAAAUGUAGGUCUUAGAUAAGAUUCCUCCAGGCUGGGAGGGAGACAGUCAAAGGUAUUGGGUGGGAUUCUCAGAAGUUUACUUAACUGUGUCCUGGCACUGCUGAUGGGGUGGAGGUAGAAAACCCUCAGACAAACCAGGUGGGGUGUCGGCAGAGCACCAUAGCCUCACAUCAGUAGCAAAUAUGGGUAGAUCUCCCCAAAUACAUAACAGAAUAUGAUGCUUUCAGGCCCGGAUCAAUGCUGUGCUCUCUGCCUGGAGAGGUCGUCCUUUCUUAUCUACCUGUUGACUUUCUAUGUCAAAGCAAAACUGCACCAAAGUUAAACAGGCAAGGAAGCCCUAAUUCAAAGCUAUUGCAAGAAAGGAUCGGACUCAGAACCAAGUCUGAACUCAACUCCACUGAAACAAAGAGGAUUUUUAAGAGCCAGACAAGCUGGAAGAGUACUCAGGAUCAUUAGGGGGAUGUGCCCACACACUGAGUAACUCCUGAGUUUGUAAAGGAUUUUUCCUGUGAUGAAAGGUGGUGUUUGCCAGGUGGUGCCAUGGAAGUUAGGCUCCUCCCUCCCACAGUGACUGGGUAUGGGGGUGCCAUACUCCUUGAUGAAAAGGAAUGACUCCCAGGUCCUUGAGAAAGACAGUCUUGGGGUGUAAAACUGGCAAGGGGCUGAGGCUCUUCAGAAGGUUUACAUCUCAAAGGGCAUAGAUCCUGCUGUAGAGCCCUGGGAACUGUAUCUCGUCACUUAUGAUGGAGCAUGAUAAUGUGAGAAAAAGAAUGUAUAUAUGUAUGUGUGACUGGGUCACCUUGCUGUACAGUAGCAAACUGACAGAACACUGUAAACCAGCUAUGAUGGGAAAAAUAAAAAUCAUUUAAAA